UGGAGAUUUGCGCUCCUUGCGAGGGGUCAAGGGUUACAAAGUAAGAUGGCCGCCCCGAGCCGGGUCGAGCGUGGGACUCGGGGCAAAACUGCAGCGAGAGCAUCAGCGAGUAUUUGGAACUUUGCAAAGAUCAGCGUGGUCUGUAUGCGGUCCCUGACGACGUGUCAACAAGCAACCGGCCAUCUUGAUUUUGGCCAGCAGCGCCCGCCCCCCCUGUUUCAGACGACCGGACACCCGCACGUCUCUGCCGCCAGACUGGAGCUUGGUAUCCCCAACCACCGGGGCCUCGGACCGGUGACUAAAGGAAAUAUAGAAAUGAUUUUUUCUCGCAGGUGUCUUAUUUUGAAAGACAACCACUUCCGCCCUUGCCCAAUUUUGGCACUUGACUCUGGCGCGUCGGCAAUACAAGCUAGCUCUCGUAAAAACGAACCAGAAACAGAGUUUGCUGGAGUUUCUUCGGAACGGGUAAAAGAGACAACGAAAGAAAGGUGCAUUUACGAGAAAAUAACUAGAUUCCUGGCUGUGCUCCGGCUUCGUCGCCACAAGUAAGCCACAAGCCCCACACGCACUCUUGUGUAGUAUCCGGUGACACGUUCGCUAGUGAAGCCAUGAAACCAUCAAAACUGCGCCGCCACACCGAGACAAAACGCCCAACCUUGAAAGAAAAGCCUUUAGAAUCGUACCUCCACUUCCGGAAUUAAUCUGUUCCGGAAGUCGUUUCAUAUCAUGAAUUUUUCGUAAGGCAAAGCGCAUUUUACAUGCAAAUUAGCGUAAUCCGUUCCAAGCCCCCACGCCAAUAUUAGUA
Syngnathoides biaculeatus (alligator pipefish) is the source of this 805-nucleotide long non-coding RNA. RefSeq lists it as uncharacterized. Lineage: Eukaryota; Metazoa; Chordata; Actinopteri; Syngnathiformes; Syngnathidae. The transcript has 3 exons. The record is from RefSeq and is a predicted model, not a curated record.